GAAACCCUUGACUCCCCAAUUAUCUAUUUACCUAUCUCCUUUUUUAUUUUUUAUCCG
This 57-nucleotide transfer RNA is filed under the name Rubia cordifolia. RNAcentral describes it as "partial tRNA-Leu". Lineage: Eukaryota; Viridiplantae; Streptophyta; Magnoliopsida; Gentianales; Rubiaceae. The record is from RNAcentral.